UGACGAGAGAGUUUGUUGAUG
Molecule: non-coding RNA, 21 nt
Filed under: Arabidopsis thaliana (thale cress)
Lineage: Eukaryota; Viridiplantae; Streptophyta; Magnoliopsida; Brassicales; Brassicaceae
Source: RNAcentral